Zingiber officinale is the source of this 251-nucleotide long non-coding RNA. RefSeq lists it as uncharacterized. The record is from RefSeq and is a predicted model, not a curated record. The transcript is spliced from 3 exons. NCBI's taxonomy places the organism in Eukaryota, Viridiplantae, Streptophyta, Magnoliopsida, Zingiberales, Zingiberaceae.
AUGACCAGUGCUUCUUGAAUUAUCUUUGAAGGUUUGGAAUCUUCAACCCAGCAGUCGUGUAUGAUCACCUGGGAGAAAUUUAUUCAGCACUUAUUCUGGGAAGCUUAGUGUUCUGCAUUUUGUUAUACUUGAAAGGUCAUUUGGCACCAUCUUCUUCGGAUUCUGGUUCAUUAGGGAACUUCAUAAUUGAUUUUUAUUGGGGCAUGGAACUGUAUCCUCGUAUCGGCAAAAACUUUGACAUCAAGGUUUUU